RNAcentral lists this ribosomal RNA (449 nucleotides) under uncultured bacterium. Its description in RNAcentral is "bacterial SSU rRNA". It matches the Rfam family "Bacterial small subunit ribosomal RNA", at positions 29 to 521 of the family's 1533-position model. The record is from RNAcentral.
AGCGAACGCUGGCGGCAGGCCUAAAACAUGCAAGUCGAACGCCUGUAGCAAUACAGGAGUGGCAGACGGGUGAGUAACACGUGGGAACGUACCCUUUGGUUCGGAACAACACAGGGAAACUUGUGCUAAUACCGGAUAAGCCCUUACGGGGAAAGAUUUAUCGCCAGAGGAUCGGCCCGCGUCUGAUUAGCUUGUUGGUGAGGUAACGGCUCACCAAGGCUACGAUCAGUAGCNGGUCUGAGAGGAUGAUCAGCCACACUGGGACUGAGACACGGCCCAGACUCCUACGGGAGGCAGCAGUUAGGAAUCUUGGACAAUGGGCGCAAGCCUGAUCCAGCCAUGCCGCGUGAGUGAUGAAGGCCUUAGGGUUGUAAAGCUCUUUCAGCGGGGAAGAUAAUGACGGUACCCGCAGAAGAAGCCCCGGCUAACUUCGUGCCAGCAGCCGCCGU